Molecule: long non-coding RNA, 1792 nt
Filed under: Phasianus colchicus (ring-necked pheasant)
Lineage: Eukaryota; Metazoa; Chordata; Aves; Galliformes; Phasianidae
Description: lncRNA (ENSPCLG00000016798.1)
Source: RNAcentral
AGGCUGACCUAUAGACAUACCCAUAGCCUGACCCAUUGGCUGACCCAUAGAUCUGACCCACUGCUCUGACCCAUAGAUCUGACCCAUAGAUCUGACCCAUAGGCUGACCCAUAGAUCUGACCCAUAGAUCUGACCCAUAGAUCUCAUCUAUAGCCUGACCCAUAGCCUGACCCAUAAGUCUGACCCAUAGAUCUGACCCAUAGACUGACCCAUAGAUCUCAUCUAUAGCCUGACCCAUAGAUCUGACCCAUAAGUCUGACCCAUAGACUGACCCACGGAUCUGACCCAUAGACCUGACCCAUAGCCUGACCCGACCCAUAGAUCUGACCCAUAGAUCUCAUCUAUAGCCUGACCCAUAGCCUGACCCAUAAGUCUGACCCAUAGCUCUGCCCCAUAGCUCAACCCUAUAGCUCAGCCCCAUAACCCAGCCCCAUAGCCCAGCCCUAUAGUUCAGCCCCAUAGCCCAGCCCUAUAGCUCAGCCCCAUAACCUAGCCCUAUAGCUCUGCCCCAUAGUCCAGCCCUAUAGCUCAGCCCCAUAGCUCAGCCCUAUAGCUGCUCAGCCCCAUAGCCCAGCCCUAUAGCCCAGCCCUAUAGCUCAGCCCCAUAACCUAGCCCUAUAGCUCUGCCCCAUAGCCCAGCCCUAUAGCCCAGCCCUAUAGCUCAGCCCCACAGCCCGGCCCCACUUACCCAGUCCGUGACCCCCAAUGGAGACUGUAAAGAGAGGGGGAAGGGGGGGGAAAGCGGUGAGUGGGGCGCGGUGUGGGGCAGAGGCGGGGGGCGGUGAGGAGCAGAGGUGGGGGGGGAGCUGGGGGGUGGAGGGGGGGGAGCUGUGGGGCAGAGGUGAGGAGUGUGGGGCGGAGGGGGGCGGAGGGGGGGAAUGGGGUGAUGGGGGGCAGGGGAAGGUGUGAGGCUCUGGGGUGUUAUGGGGCAGCGCUAUGGGGCAGCGCUAUGGGGCAGCGCUAUGGGGCAGUGCAGCAGGGAGUUAUGGGGUGGCGCUAUGGGGCAGCGCAGGGAUGUGGUGGGGCAGCGCUGUGGGGCAGCACAACAAGUUAUGGGGCGGCGCUAUGGGGCAGCGCAGGGAUGCAGUGGGGCAGCGCUAUGGGGCGCUAUGGGGCAGUGCAACAGGGAGUUAUGGGGUGGUGCUAUGGGGCAGCGCUAUGGGGCAGCACAAUGGGGCAGCACACAGAUGCUAUGGGGCAGCGCAAUGAGGCACUGUGGGGCAGCAAAGGAAUCUAUGGGGCAGCAGCACAGUGCUCUAUGGGGCAGCACACAGAUCUAUGGGGCAGCAGCACACAGACCUAUGGGGCAGCACAUCGAUCUGUGGGGCAGCACAGCACAACAUGCAGAUCUAUGGGGCAGCACAGCACACAGAUCUAUGGGGCAGCACACGGAUCUAUGGGGCAGUACAUCACUCUAUGGGGCAGCAGCACACAGAUCUAUGGGGCAGCAGCACAGCGCUCUAUGGGGCAGCACAGCACAGCACAGCGCUCUAUGGGGCAGCAUAACAUACAGAUCUAUGGGGCAGCACACGGAUCCAUGGGGCAGCACAGCACACACAUCUAUGGGGCAGCAGCACACACAUCUAUGGGGCAGCACAGCACACACAUCUAUGGGGCAGCACAGCACACACAUCUAUGGGGCAGCAGCACACACAUCUAUGGUGCAGCACAACACACACAUCUAUGGGGCAGCACAGCACACACAUCUAUGGGGCAGCAGCACACACACAUCUAUGGGGCAGCACAGCGCUCUAUGGGGCAGCAGCACACUGAUCUAUGGGGCAGCACACGG